UCCCUCAAAGCGACACACCGGGCGUCGGAGCUGCGGUUCAGACUCUGCUUGGGUCUCGGGUUUGGUUGUUUAGUUGUGCUGUGUUGUAUUUUGUUUUGUUUUGUGUUUAAGCUGCGCAGGCGCCAUAGGGUCUCUCAUCCCUAUCCUGCCGGCGAGUUCUCUUGCAGCCUCCCUAAACAGUAGGGAAAACUAGAGUUCGGCCUGGAUUGCUUAUGAGAAUUGGCAGUCAGCAUAGCCUUGCGGAGAAGGAAAGUUUGCUGUAUAACAAGUUACUGAAAAUUUAGCUGCUUAAAGCAACAUGAAUUUCAUCUGUCACAGGUUCUGUGGCUCAAGUGUCCAGGUCUCUGCUCAGGCCUCACAGGUAGGCAACCAGGUAUUUCAGGUAGGACUUCUGUCUUAUCAGAUGCUCAAACUCAUCCAGAUCAUUCAGGUGGUUGGCAGAAUUCAGUACCUGGUAGUUUUCUCCUUCAAGGUCAGCAAGGACAGGCCUGCCUGACCUUGCAACUUUUAAAUAACCCACCUAAGUCAGGCCUCCCCAAGGGGUGUGUGUGUGUGUGUGUGUGUGUUUGUUUGUACUGAGGACUGAACUCAGGGCCUUCACACUGAGCUACAUUCCUAGCCCUUUUUUAUAUUUAUUUCUCGAUGAUGUCUCACUAAGCCACUAAAUUGCCAGGUGAAACUCAAAUUGAUAAUCCUUCUGCCACAGCUUCCCACACAGCACUGGGAUUAUAGACCUGUGCCACCAUGCCUGGCAUAGCCUCCCUUUUGAUGAAUACAGAGUCAAUGAUUUUCAGGAGUGAUAUCCAUUAUAUUCACAAUUCCUGUCCAUACUCAAGUGGAGAGGUUCAUGCAAGGUGUGUACACACCUGGGGUAGAAAUUAUCUUUCAUCCUGCCAUAUGGAUCCUACUAUAUGGAAACAGCAAUGGCAGAUAGCUAUUACUUUCCCUGCCCACCAGGAAGACCUCCUUAUUCUAAGGGAUCUACCUCAACUGCAUGUCCAGCGACCUUCCCUCACAACUUGCAUCCAGCGUAGAAGGACUGUCAGCCAGGAUGCUCCAUGCUUGCCUUGCCAAGGGGUGGACAGGUGACUCAUGUAAGCCAGAAUUGCUCCUUGCCAUGAUUUGAACCUUGACAGGAGGUAAGAGAAUAGGACGGGGUAGACUGAACAACCAAUUGGGUAGGAUGUAUCAAAGGUAAAAAGAGAUUGAGCAAGCGAGAUGUUUUCUAAAAAGAGAGGACAUGCACAGAACCCAGGACCCAAAAUGACUCCUGAACACCAUAGGCCAAUCAGAAAAGUGCUAUUUUCAAUCCUUCAUUUGAAGCUGGUGCCAUUUCCAGGACCAUUUUUGCAAAGGAGAAGGGGACCAAGAGGUGGAGGGAGGAAAGAGGAAGAGAAAGGAAGAGAUGAAAAAAGGAAUUAGGCUGUGUUAUGCACAGGUACCAACUCCCCAUGAGAAAUGUAAUCAUGUCCUGCAAGCAUACUAGUAAAAAUUUUAAAUAUUAAAUAAAUAAAUAGAAAAAAAAGAUACUAUUUUCAAUCCUUCAUUCACAUGUGACAAGAAGGCAAGUGAAUUUUUUAAUAGGAUAUUUUACAUCUGGUGUGACAUCAAAUGAGUUUUUGAUAAAACAAAUGUCCCAAUGCCUUAUUUGCAUGAGAGGGAAGCCUACCUGGGAAUUUCAGAUAUGAAUGACCUUUCCCCCCUUAUCCUCAGAGCCAAUGUGAGCCUCUUCACCAGAUCACUCUCACCCUGUAGCGUGUACUUCCUCAGAGCCAAUGUGAGCCUCUUCACCAGAUCACUCUCACCCUGUAGAGUGUACUUCUUUUCUGCCUUCAAUAAAUGUACAGCUUUAUUGUCUUUUCUGUGUCUUCUCCAAUUUUUUGGGACACGAAGGACCUGGAAAAAAAGUCCCUAGGACCCUAAUGCAAAGAGUAUAAGCAGUAUUCAUCCAGCCUAGCUACCAUAUUCUGAAUUUCUACUCUAGCACUUGUCUUUUUCCAAAGCUUUCUUCUUUACUUUCUCUUUGGAUUAUAUAAAAUUCUCCCUGCCCUUCCAACAAAUUCCUAUCUUCUUCCAUAAUCUUUAAAACUUUUAGGGAUGCACAUGGUGACACCAACCUGUGAUCCUAGCUCUGGGAGACUGAGGCAGGAGGAUCACAAAUUAGAACCCAGCCUGGGCAAUUUAGCAGCUUACACCUUGUCUCAAAAUACAAAAGCCUUAAGAAAAAAAAAAGAAAGAAAAAGGGAUUGGGGAUGUACCUGAGGUGUGAAGGCCCCAGGUUUAACCCCAGUACAGAAAAAAGGUAAAGAAGAACUUAGCAAGACAAAUCGGAGAUUGUUCAACUCCUGUCUCAUGCCCUGAUGACAAUAUAUUGUCUUUGAGGCUCUGACAGAGGCUGAUAAGAUUAAAAGUAUCCUUCCUUGGCCAGGCAUUUAGCUCAGUGGCUCCACACCUACCUUUCAAGCACAAGGUCCUAAGUUUCAUCCCUGGUACAAAAAAAAGAAAAAAGGUUAAAGGUAUCCUACCUACCACCUGUGGGUUGGCUGGUUUGUUUGCUUUGCAGUACUAGGGAUUGAACUUGAGGCCUUCACACUGAGCUACAUAACAAGCCCUUUUUUAAAAAAUUAUUUUGAGACAAAGUCUCGCUAAGUUGCUCAUGCUAAGCUCAAAUUUGUGAUCCUCCUGCCUUAGCCUCCCAGAGUGCUGAGAUUACAGGUGUACCACCAUCCCCGGUGCCAUCUCUGUACUCAUCCUGUUGUCUGUCUGUCUGCCAAGUAUCUGGCCAGCUAUGUCAUCAUCCUUCAUUCCCAGGACAAUAUAAAUGUGUUUCCUGAACAGUGAAAUGUCUCAGUCUUUCUCUGCAUUCUCAUCGCUUUUAUUGUAAUAUGUAACAUGUUCCUUUUCUCAUAAAAAUAAGACUUUCUCAUACAAUGAGUCAUUAAUGAGACUUACUGAACCAGAACCAGUGUUCUCUUCUCAGCUGCCUUUCCCCGCACACUUUGAGUCACAAUCACAUCCCUGUGCCGGCCUUCCUUGGUCCCCUGCCUGCUUUAUCUCAGGGAAUUGCACAAAGCCCCAGUUAACUCUCUCUAUAAUUCUCCCCUUUAUAUUUGUUAUCCAUCAUUUCUCCUGCGAGGUCAACUCCAUGCAGACAAGAACUUCUUUAAAAAAAAAAAAAAAAGUUAUUGAUGUCGAACCAUAAAUACAGAAGAGUACGACUUGAUGACUCUUUGUAAAGGAAAUACACACACAUUGUGUAACCGCUUCUUAGAUCAAGUGAAAGAAGUCACAAUCUUGUUCCAAGUUAAUCUUGACUUUUAACAACAUACAUUCAUUUUCUGUUUUUGAACUUUAUAUAAAUGGAAUUUUACAGUAUGAACUCAUGUCCAUCAACAUUGUGCUUUGAAAUUAGUCCAUAUUGGAUGUGUUCAGUCUCAUCACCAUGUAUUAUAAUAACAUUGUGUGACUAUUUAUACACUCCACUUUUAAUGGGCAUUUGGGUGUUUCCCAGUCUAGGGGUUGUUAUGAUUUUAAUUGUGUCCCCCAAUAAGAUAUGUUGGAGUCCUAACCCAAGGUACUUAUUUCCAAAUGGAUGUAGGCAAGUUAAGAUGAGGUCAUCAGAGUGGACCUUUAAUUCACGUGCCUGGUAGCUUUAGAAGAAGGAAAUUUGGACACAUACACAGAGAGGGGAUACCGUGUGACAACAGAGGCAGGUACUGGAAUGAUCCAAGUGUAACCCAAAGAUCUUCAGCCUCCCCCAGGAGCAAGGAAAAGAAAAGUUUUGACUCAGCCUCUCAGCUGGAACAUAACCCUGCUGAAAUCUUAAAUUUGGACUUCUCAUUGCCAGAACUAUGAAAGAUAAAAUUCUCUUCUUUUAAACCACCAUGUAGUGCUUUAUGAUGACAUAGUGCUGCUGUGAAAAUUCUAGUGCAUGUCUUUUGCUGUGUCUGUGUGCACAUUCUGUAAUCUCAUUUCUAGGGUUUGGCAGGAUCAACUGAGCAGUUUUCUCAUAGGCUCUCUCAUGUUUGUAAUUAGAUGGCAGUUGGGGCUGGACUUCCCUGAAGGCUUCUUCACUCAAUGUCCCUUGACUGAGCUAGAUAGCUAGAAUAACGGGGCUGGUUGGGCAUCUCUCCCUCUCUUCCUGUAUGUGACUUGGGCUUCCUCAUAGCACAGAGGCCACAGUGUCAUUCAACUCCUUACAUGGCAGCUGACUUUCCCCAGCAUGAGCAUUCUAAGAGAAAGUCAUUGGAAAUUGCCAGUUUUCAUUAAUUGGUCAGAGUGACACUUGUAUCACGUCUAGUCAAAGGCCAGCUUAGCUCUAAAUGGAUGAAAGAAGGGCCUGCCUCUUUUUUUCUUUUUUUUUUUUUUCAUUUGUGGUACUGGGGAUUGAACCCAGGACCUUUGCAUUGAGCUACAUCCUCAACGCUUUUUUAAUUUUGAGACAGGGUUUCAUUAAAUCACCAAGUUGCUCCAGCUGUACUUGAACUUGUGGUUUUCCUGCCUCAGCCUCCCAGAGUGCUGGGAUUACAGGCAUGCACCACCAUGCCAGCCAUAGCGCCCACCUCUUGAUGAGAGGAGAGGUGCAUGCCUUUAGGGAGGGGGAGAAUUAAUGGUGGCACGCUUGGAGAUAAACUGCUAUACUCAGCACAAAGGUUGCCUGUGACCAUGAUACCCUUUGACUACGAAAGAAACAAAAUGACUAUUAAAAGAAUGGGACUACCUUACAAAAUCAAAGGGAAAACUUAGAAGACAGAGAAAUUCUAGUUAUAUACCAAGUACUGGUACACAAGCUUUUUGAGGCACAACCACGUGAUAAAUCAACUUCAUCUGUUUCUGGUACUCGUAUCUCUCUGUUCAAGACACAAAUUCCAGGAUAAAAAUUUUUACAGCAUAAAUUGAUUGUGUGGGCCAGGUGUGGUGGUGCAAGGCUGUAAUCUCAGUACUCUGGGAGGCUGAGACAAAAGGAUUGCAAGUUUGAGCCCAACCUGGGCAAUUUAGCAAGACUCUGCCUCAAAAAUAUUAAAAAGGGAUGGGGGGAGUGGCUGGGGAUUUAGCUCAGUGGUUCAGAUGCCUGCCUCACAAGCACAAGGUCCCAAGUUUGAUCCCCGGUACCAAAAAAAAAGGGAUGGGGAUGUAGCUCAGUGCAAAUGCCUUGGGUUUGAUCCCCAGUAUCACAAUCAGUCAAUCAAUUAGUUAGAUCAUGUGUUCACAUCUUGUCCAAGAGAGGACAAGAUUCUUGAAUGUAUAAGCCCACUAAAACUGCAUGAACAAACACCCAAUGAUAAAUGUAAACGAAUUGUAUACCUAAAAUGUACAAA
Molecule: non-coding RNA, 5318 nt
Organism: Heterocephalus glaber (naked mole-rat)
Lineage: Eukaryota; Metazoa; Chordata; Mammalia; Rodentia; Bathyergidae
Source: RefSeq, a predicted model, not a curated record